Molecule: ribosomal RNA, 2832 nt
Filed under: Triticum aestivum (bread wheat)
Lineage: Eukaryota; Viridiplantae; Streptophyta; Magnoliopsida; Poales; Poaceae
Description: partial small subunit ribosomal RNA
Source: RNAcentral
AUGAGCAGGAACGAGAAAAUAGCGAGGAAGAAUCCACAAAGAACUGUCGUGUUUGUGAUGCAUCUUGCUUGCCUGAUGCCGAAGACGAACUGUGUACACCACAUUGGCAGCGAACUCUGUACUCCUCAAAAUCACCCGGACUCCAUCCGUUGGCGCUCGCUUGCGGGCAGGCUGUCGUCAUGCCAUGUGAUUAAACCGAGGUCCCCGGAUGUGGAUGGCCCGUCGUCUUUGGACGGGCGAAGGAGUGGACGCGACCCGCAUUGGCCGCUAGCUGGGCGUCAGCAUCACCAGGGUACCCUCCGCCUGCAGGAACCAAUGAGGAGGAUGAGAGGUAGCAUUGUCCGAAACAUGGGAGGCAACAUGACGGAUGGAGGCUGCUCACAUGGCAGCGGCGGUUUAAGCUUUCUCUCUUCCCGAAUAAGAAAAAAAAGGCGAUCUUGUCUCCAGCCGCCAGGGCACCUUGCUCCGCCGCCGUCCUCCGACGGCUCCCCUCCGCUGAUGACCUUUGUCGUCGGUGAUGGUGGGGGGAGGGGGGUCGCCGGAUCCAUGCGUGUGGAUUGUUUUAGACUGUGCAAGAAAGGAUGGUACGGCGGCGGCGGCAUCCUCAUGGUGGACAUGUGUCCUCGGGCUCCGCCGCUGCGACGACGUUUGCUCCAGCGCUGGCACGGAGCUUGGGAGGUAGUCCAGGAGCAUAUGCAGAUUGUGGUCUACAUCGGCGACAUCUGGAAGAUGGUGGAUCUUGGUUCGUGUUCAUGGCAGGCAGGUAUGGUUUCCUCCUCCAACGUCUUAGUUGGGCGGGGGUGCCAGAUCUGGAGUUUGAUGGCGUGUCCGGGGUGGAGUUUUGUCAAGUCGAUUGAUAACCGGUUUAAACCAAUGGGAGGUGGUGGUGGGAGGUGGGUCAAAAAUAAACCGCCACAUGACGCCGCGCGCGUGAACCAGCAUUGCUACCUAAACUCAGCUAACAGCAUUUCAGAAGAAAAAAAAGUCAGCGUUUCAGCUGAUCUUGUCGAUAUAAAUCCACCUUCAAAAAAAAAGUACGGCUGCUUUGCUUGGGCCAUUGGCGUCACUGCUGUGGCCCAUGGGCCUUUUGCUACUGCGGUGGACCGCCACUUCUCCUUGAAAGGAGGCAGCGGAAGAAGCAAAACGAGGCGGAGCCAGACGUUUCGAUUAGUCCCACCUCGCUUGGGUAGAAUCGCCCACCAAGCUCCGAGCCUCCGAAGCACCGGUACCAAUCAACACCUCCAAGAAGGGACGCGACGAUGCCGACGCUGCUGCCAAGGGUUUCCCCCGGUACGCGGUGAGGAGAGAGGAAGGGUAGCCCGACGCCCUCCAGGAAGGUCCGGCGGCACCCUCAAGCGCCACCGCGUCAGUGUCGGCCAAGCCAACAGGGAUUUCUCCCGAUCCCAACCUUCCCCUCAGGCACUCCGAAGCUCGCCACCAAACAGACCCCCAUCCUGCGCCAACCCAGCCACGAAGCUUCCUACGCCGUCUCACCACGGCAUCAUGGAGCAUGGUCUGCACAAUGAAGAAGAGGAGCCAGGACUAGGGCAGCAGCACCGUCGGCACGCGCCCGUGGCCGCACAGGCCCAGCCGGGAUCUCCGAGGCCCGUAAAUUUCCCGCCUUCGCACUGCAGCUGGCACGCAGUCGGCUCCGCGGCCCCUGUCCAAGCCGCUCCCCUGCCUCCCCGCACAGAUAGCCACCAAGUGGAAGCACCACCACCACACGCACCGCCGGCCACCACCACCAGGUCGCUGGACCGCCACAGUCCGAGCCGCACCACCGCCGCACGCCCGCGACGGAGAGGAACCAAUGCAGCCGUCGGGAGCCCGAAGAGGAACAAGCCCCGCCGUCGCCGCCGCCGGUCGGGCUUUGCCCGGCCGCGCCCCCUGGCGGCGGCGAGGGGAGAGGGAGGAGGAGGGGAGGCCGGCGGCGGGCGGAUUUGGGAGCCCUCCCCGGCCGCCUCGCGGGUGGCGGCACGGGAGGUGUUGGUUCUCAAACAGGAGGAGGAAAUGCAGAACAUCAACAAGCAGACAAACUCGAGGAUGGGGUGGCUAAGUUUCCUCUUGCUCGGCAUCUGCUUGUCCGUGGCAGGGUUGCAGCUGUGGCAUCUGAAGACCUUUUUCGAGAGAAAGAAGCUGCUAGACGGGUCAAAUUCUGUUGUGUGGGCCGUGCUAAAAAAGAGUUGCACAAGUGUGAGGCGACGGGUCUGUUGGGCUGAACUAUUGUUGCCUCUCGAGUGGGCUGGUGACCUGGUUGGCAAACAUUGUCAAGUGAUACGGGAGUCAAGUGGAAGAGGCGUAGCGCUGUUCUGGUUUAGUCCCACCUCGCCUACACAAGGAAUGAGGGGAGGGAGCGGGCUACAUAAGAGCGGGUGGCCGAUGCUAGACGCCGGCGCACCGGCCGAACGCUUCGGCCGGUCCAACCCUAGCCGUCAGAUCGGCCUCUUCCGAUCCGUUGGAUCCUUAUCCAACCAGGGCGUCGUCUUCCUCUCGCGAGCGCGGACGGGGAAAGGAGCCCCGUCUCGCCGCCCGUCUUCGCCGGCCGCCCCACGCUUCGACACUCAGCUCGCCCCGCCCGCUCGCCGCCCCGACCGCUGGUUGGAGCUGACCGCUCGCCGCCUCGGCCGUCCGUUGGAGCGUCAUGGAUGCAGCUCCGCGAUUCAACUCAUCCAAGUCCGCUCGCCGCCCCGGCCGCCCGUCGGGGCCGCCCCGGCCGCCCGUCGGGGCCGCCCCGACCGCUCGCUGCCCCCGCUGCUCGUCGGAGUGCCAUGGAUGCAGCUCCGCCUCACCGAUGAUUUGUUCCAGCAAAAAAAGAGAGAUGCCCCGUGGUAG